RNAcentral lists this non-coding RNA (21 nucleotides) under Arabidopsis thaliana (thale cress). Lineage: Eukaryota; Viridiplantae; Streptophyta; Magnoliopsida; Brassicales; Brassicaceae. The record is from RNAcentral.
CAUAAACUGGAGAAAGGGGCA